This 465-nucleotide ribosomal RNA is filed under the name Vreelandella stevensii. RNAcentral describes it as "partial 16S ribosomal RNA". It matches the Rfam family "Bacterial small subunit ribosomal RNA", at positions 338 to 795 of the family's 1533-position model. The record is from RNAcentral. Lineage: Bacteria; Pseudomonadati; Pseudomonadota; Gammaproteobacteria; Oceanospirillales; Halomonadaceae.
CCUACGGGUGGCUGCAGUGGGGAAUAUUGGACAAUGGGGGGAACCCUGAUCCAGCCAUGCCGCGUGUGUGAAGAAGGCCCUCGGGUUGUAAAGCACUUUCAGUGAGGAAGAACGCCUGGUGGUUAAUACCCAUCAGGAAAGACAUCACUCACAGAAGAAGCACCGGCUAACUCCGUGCCAGCAGCCGCGGUAAUACGGAGGGUGCGAGCGUUAAUCGGAAUUACUGGGCGUAAAGCGCGCGUAGGUGGCUUGAUAAGCCGGUUGUGAAAGCCCCGGGCUCAACCUGGGAACGGCAUCCGGAACUGUCAAGCUAGAGUGCAGGAGAGGAAGGUAGAAUUACCGGUGUAGCGGUGAAAUGCGUAGAGAUCGGGAGGAAUACCAGUGGCGAAGGCGGCCUUCUGGACUGACACUGACACUGAGGUGCGAAAGCGUGGGUAGCAAACAGGAUUAGAUACCCCAGUAGUC